UUAAAUUGAAGAGUUUGAUCAUGGCUCAGAUUGAACGCUGGCGGCAGGCCUAACACAUGCAAGUCGAACGGUAACAGGAAGCAGCUUGCUGCUUCGCUGACGAGUGGCGGACGGGUGAGUAAUGUCUGGGAAACUGCCUGAUGGAGGGGGAUAACUACUGGAAACGGUGGCUAAUACCGCAUAACGUCGCAAGACCAAAGAGGGGGACCUUCGGGCCUCUUGCCAUCAGAUGUGCCCAGAUGGGAUUAGCUAGUUGGUGAGGUAACGGCUCACCAAGGCGACGAUCCCUAGCUGGUCUGAGAGGAUGACCAGCCACACUGGAACUGAGACACGGUCCAGACUCCUACGGGAGGCAGCAGUGGGGAAUAUUGCACAAUGGGCGCAAGCCUGAUGCAGCCAUGCCGCGUGUAUGAAGAAGGCCUUCGGGUUGUAAAGUACUUUCAGCGGGGAGGAAGGUGUUGCGGUUAAUAACCGCAGCAAUUGACGUUACCCGCAGAAGAAGCACCGGCUAACUCCGUGCCAGCAGCCGCGGUAAUACGGAGGGUGCAAGCGUUAAUCGGAAUUACUGGGCGUAAAGCGCACGCAGGCGGUCUGUCAAGUCGGAUGUGAAAUCCCCGGGCUCAACCUGGGAACUGCAUUCGAAACUGGCAGGCUUGAGUCUUGUAGAGGGGGGUAGAAUUCCAGGUGUAGCGGUGAAAUGCGUAGAGAUCUGGAGGAAUACCGGUGGCGAAGGCGGCCCCCUGGACAAAGACUGACGCUCAGGUGCGAAAGCGUGGGGAGCAAACAGGAUUAGAUACCCUGGUAGUCCACGCCGUAAACGAUGUCUACUUGGAGGUUGUGCCCUUGAGGCGUGGCUUCCGGAGCUAACGCGUUAAGUAGACCGCCUGGGGAGUACGGCCGCAAGGUUAAAACUCAAAUGAAUUGACGGGGGCCCGCACAAGCGGUGGAGCAUGUGGUUUAAUUCGAUGCAACGCGAAGAACCUUACCUGGUCUUGACAUCCACAGAACUUUCCAGAGAUGGACUGGUGCCUUCGGGAACUGUGAGACAGGUGCUGCAUGGCUGUCGUCAGCUCGUGUUGUGAAAUGUUGGGUUAAGUCCCGCAACGAGCGCAACCCUUAUCCUUUGUUGCCAGCGAUUAGGUCGGGAACUCAAAGGAGACUGCCAGUGAUAAACUGGAGGAAGGUGGGGAUGACGUCAAGUCAUCAUGGCCCUUACGACCAGGGCUACACACGUGCUACAAUGGCGCAUACAAAGAGAAGCGACCUCGCGAGAGCAAGCGGACCUCAUAAAGUGCGUCGUAGUCCGGAUUGGAGUCUGCAACUCGACUCCAUGAAGUCGGAAUCGCUAGUAAUCGUGGAUCAGAAUGCCACGGUGAAUACGUUCCCGGGCCUUGUACACACCGCCCGUCACACCAUGGGAGUGGGUUGCAAAAGAAGUAGGUAGCUUAACCUUCGGGAGGGCGCUUACCACUUUGUGAUUCAUGACUGGGGUGAAGUCGUAACAAGGUAACCGUAGGGGAACCUGCGGUUGGAUCACCUCCUUACCUUAAAGAAGC
Molecule: ribosomal RNA, 1556 nt
Filed under: Salmonella enterica subsp. enterica serovar Mbandaka str. ATCC 51958
Lineage: Bacteria; Pseudomonadati; Pseudomonadota; Gammaproteobacteria; Enterobacterales; Enterobacteriaceae
Description: bacterial SSU rRNA
Rfam family: Bacterial small subunit ribosomal RNA
Source: RNAcentral